Non-coding RNA from Salvelinus sp. IW2-2015, 431 nucleotides. The record is from RefSeq and is a predicted model, not a curated record. Lineage: Eukaryota; Metazoa; Chordata; Actinopteri; Salmoniformes; Salmonidae.
CAGAAGUUAGGCCUUGGUUAAGAUACGUUUUUUUCAAGUUUAAUCUGAAGUUAGGCUUGGUUAAGAUACGUUUUUCAAGUCAGUCAGAAGUUAGGCCUUGGUUAAGAUACGUUUUUCAAGUCAGUCAGAAGUUAGGCCUGGUUAAGAUACGUUUUUCAAGUCAGUCAGAAGUUAGGCCUUGGUUAAGAUACGUUUUUCAAGUCAGUCAGAAGUUAGGCCUUGGUUAAGAUACGUUUUUCAAGUCAGUCAGAAGUUAGGCCUUGGUUAAGAUACGUUUUUCAAGUCAGUCAGAAGUUAGGCCUUGGUUAAGAUACGUUUUUCAAAAAGGGAUUUUUUUUUUUUUUUUGCCACAUUCUCCAAAGAGAUACUGUGAACAGAAUCAUACAUUUGCAAUGUGUUGUCAGACAGUAUGGUUAAUUUUAACAGUAGAA